RNAcentral lists this transfer RNA (73 nucleotides) under Anomaloglossus baeobatrachus. RNAcentral describes it as "tRNA-Leu". It matches the Rfam family "tRNA". Rfam says of the family: Transfer RNA (tRNA) molecules are approximately 80 nucleotides in length. Lineage: Eukaryota; Metazoa; Chordata; Amphibia; Anura; Aromobatidae. The record is from RNAcentral.
GCUAACGUAGCAUAACCUGGUUUUGCUAAAGAUCUAAGCCCUUUUCACAGAAGUUCAAAUCUUCUCGUUAGCU